AUUACCGAGUGAGGGCCCUCUGGGUCCAACCUCCCACCCGUGUUUAUUUACCUUAUUGCUUCGGCGGGCCCGCCUUCACUGGCCGCCGGGGGGCUCACGCCCCCGGGCCCGCGCCCGCCGAAGACACCCCGAACUCUGUCUGAAGAAUGAAGUCUGAGUGAAAAUAUAAAUUAUUUAAAACUUUCAACAACGGAUCUCUUGGUUCCGGCAUCGAUGAAGAACGCAGCGAAAUGCGAUACGUAAUGUGAAUUGCAAAUUCAGUGAAUCAUCGAGUCUUUGAACGCACAUUGCGCCCCCUGGUAUUCCGGGGGGCAUGCCUGUCCGAGCGUCAUUGCUGCCCUCAAGCCCGGCUUGUGUGUUGGGCCUCGUCCUCCGAUUCCGGGGGACGGGCCCGAAAGGCAGCGGCGGCACCGCGUCCGGUCCUCGAGCGUAUGGGGCUCUGUCACCCGCUCUGUAGGCCCGGCCGGCGCUUGCCGAUCAACCCAAAUUUUUAUCCAGGUUGGACUCGGAUCAGGUAGGGAUAACCGCUGAACUUUACGCA
RNAcentral lists this ribosomal RNA (541 nucleotides) under Penicillium paneum. RNAcentral's name for it is "eukaryotic LSU rRNA". The stretch from base 179 to 331 matches the Rfam family "5.8S ribosomal RNA". Lineage: Eukaryota; Fungi; Ascomycota; Eurotiomycetes; Eurotiales; Aspergillaceae. The record is from RNAcentral.